GGGAUAACAAGCGAUGGGUAACCGAUAUUUUAUUUCGAAACGGUUACGUGUGCAGCGUUGAAGAAAUACCGUCACGCGUGGCCCGGCGAAACCGGUCCCGCCGCAUAACAUUAUAAUAAUAUCGUCACUGCUCAUCGCGGAGGUAUUUAUCAUUUCGUUUACGGAUCGCACACCCAACCCCGGCUGUGCGUAGCGAUAAUAACGGACGUUAACAAGUUAGCGGAGGUCACGCGUUUACGGGGGUUUUGAACGAUAUCAUUCUCGAAACGGGCAAAAUCUAACGCACAAUCUCCUCGAAGAAACUGUGGCCGAUUGACU
Non-coding RNA from Cinara cedri, 318 nucleotides. The record is from the annotation of a GenBank genome assembly. Lineage: Eukaryota; Metazoa; Arthropoda; Insecta; Hemiptera; Aphididae.